CCUACGGGAGGCAGCAGUGGGGAAUUUUGGACAAUGGGCGAAAGCCUGAUCCAGCAAUGCCGCGUGAGUGAAGAAGGCCUUCGGGUUGUAAAGCUCUUUUGUCAGGGAAGAAACGGUGAGAGCUAAUAUCUCUUGCUAAUGACGGUACCUGAAGAAUAAGCACCGGCUAACUACGUGCCAGCAGCCGCGGUAAUACGUAGGGUGCAAGCGUUAAUCGGAAUUACUGGGCGUAAAGCGUGCGCAGGCGGUUUUGUAAGUCUGAUGUGAAAUCCCCGGGCUCAACCUGGGAAUUGCAUUGGAGACUGCAAGGCUAGAAUCUGGCAGAGGGGGGUAGAAUUCCACGUGUAGCAGUGAAAUGCGUAGAUAUGUGGAGGAACACCGAUGGCGAAGGCAGCCCCCUGGGUCAAGAUUGACGCUCAUGCACGAAAGCGUGGGGAGCAAACAGGAUUAGAUACCCUGGUAGUCCACGCCCUAAACGAUGUCUACUAGUUGUCGGGUCUUAAUUGACUUGGUAACGCAGCUAACGCGUGAAGUAGACCGCCUGGGGAGUCGGUCGCAAGAUUAAAACUUAAAUGAAUUGNGG
Molecule: ribosomal RNA, 583 nt
Filed under: uncultured bacterium
Lineage: Bacteria
Description: bacterial SSU rRNA
Rfam family: Bacterial small subunit ribosomal RNA
Source: RNAcentral